Long non-coding RNA from Pogoniulus pusillus (Red-fronted tinkerbird), 573 nucleotides. RefSeq lists it as uncharacterized. Lineage: Eukaryota; Metazoa; Chordata; Aves; Piciformes; Lybiidae. The record is from RefSeq and is a predicted model, not a curated record. The transcript is spliced from 3 exons.
CCGCCUCCGCUCAGCCGCUCGUCGGGUUCCGCCGCCGUGGAAGGCAUACGGAGAGCCCGCGGGGGGUUCUAAGCUCUGUCUCCAGCUUAGCGCCCCUCGGCUGUGAAGGAGAGGUCUGAAGCCUUUACCCAUCGAUACUGAAGAACCUGAAAUAAUAGCUCUCACUCUCCCCAAGAGCACAUUCCAAAACUAUCCCUCGGGUUGUUAUUAGUACAUCAAGCUACACAAGAAAAAGAAGGCAGGAGCCAGAAGUUAGAUACAUUAUCUGUAAAGGAGACACCCUCUUUGGAAAGGCUCUUCCCUCUGGAGCAUGACACAGAUCAAUCUUCAUGCUUCUGAUCAUCUCUCUGUAAGAAUUGGUACCAGAUAAACCACAAACACUUAGUAUUUAAGCAAAACAGAGUCUGGGGGCAUUUAUGCUUGCAGUUCUCUCUGUAUGCUGCCUUUUUAUAUCUAUGCAAAAAUCACAUUAAAUGAUGGAUAAAAUGAUUGCAAAAGACCAAGAUCACAACAGACACUUGAAAAAGGGUAAGAGUGAAAUAUUUUAAACAAUAAAACAUUUUGUUCUCUGAA